This 429-nucleotide ribosomal RNA is filed under the name bacterium. RNAcentral's name for it is "partial 16S ribosomal RNA". It matches the Rfam family "Bacterial small subunit ribosomal RNA", at positions 355 to 776 of the family's 1533-position model. The record is from RNAcentral.
UAGGGAAUCUUCCACAAUGGACGCAAGUCUGAUGGAGCAACGCCGCGUGAGUGAAGAAGGUUUUCGGAUCGUAAAGCUCUGUUGUUGGUGAAGAAGGAUAGAGGCAGUAACUGGUCUUUAUUUGACGGUAAUCAACCAGAAAGUCACGGCUAACUACGUGCCAGCAGCCGCGGUAAUACGUAGGUGGCAAGCGUUGUCCGGUUUUAUUGGGCGUAAAGCGAGCGCAGGCGGAAUGAUAAGUCUGAUGUGAAAGCCCACGGCUCAACCGUGGAACUGCAUCGGAAACUGUCAUUCUUGAGUGCAGAAGAGGAGAGUGGAAUUCCAUGUGUAGCGGAGGAAUGCGUAGAUAUAUGGAAGAACACCAGUGGCGAAGGCGGCUCUCUGGUCUGCAACUGACGCUGAGGCUCGAAAGCAUGGGUAGCGAACAGG